UACGUAGGGUGCAAGCAUUAAUCGGAAUUAUUGGGCGUAAAGGGCGUGUAGGCGGAUGGAUAAGUCAGAUGUGAAAUUCCGGGGCUCAACCUCGGAGCUGCAUUUGAAACUGCCCAUCUAGAGGGUUGACGGAGAAAACGGAAUUCCACGUGUAGCGGUGAAAUGCGUAGAUAUGUGGAAGAACACCAGUGGCGAAAGCGGUUUUCUAGUUAAUACCUGACGCUGAGGCGCGAGAGCAAGGGGAGCAAACAGG
RNAcentral lists this ribosomal RNA (253 nucleotides) under uncultured bacterium. RNAcentral describes it as "partial 16S ribosomal RNA". It matches the Rfam family "Bacterial small subunit ribosomal RNA", at positions 524 to 776 of the family's 1533-position model. The record is from RNAcentral.